GGGUAACAUGAUCACCGGGUGCGGACUGGCCUGGGAGUUGACAAACACGGUGUCGCUACCACAUCUCGCGAUUGCUUCUCAUGUACUGCAGGAUGGCCGUGGACAGCUCUGUUGCCGUGUCAUCAAAAAGCUGCAACAGUCAAGCACACCACUUAUGACUGGAAAGGAGCCUAGCACACACACCAGUUUCAGCACUUCGUCCUGCUCCUCGGGGGACAGGCUCUCAAUGCGGUACAC
Non-coding RNA from Dermacentor andersoni, 237 nucleotides. The record is from RefSeq and is a predicted model, not a curated record. Lineage: Eukaryota; Metazoa; Arthropoda; Arachnida; Ixodida; Ixodidae.